GAAUUGUUCACAAUGGGCGCAAGCCUGAUGACGCAACGCCGCGUGGAGGAUGAAGGUCUUCGGAUUGUAAACUCCUGUUGCUCGGGACGAAAGGCUUCAACCUAAUACGUUGAAGUCUGACGGUACCGGGUGAGGAAGCCCAGGCUAACUCUGUGCCAGCAGCCGCGGUAAUACAGAGGGGGCAAGCGUUGUUCGGAAUUACUGGGCGUAAAGGGCGCGUAGGCGGCCUUCUAAGUCAGACGUGAAAUCCCCGGGCUCAACCCGGGAACUGCGUCUGAUACUGGAUGGCUUGAAUCCGGGAGAGGGAUGUGGAAUUCCAGGUGUAGCGGUGAAAUGCGUAGAUAUCUGGAGGAACACCGGUGGCGAAGGCGGCAUCCUGGACCGGUAUUGACGCUGAGGCGCGAAAGCCAGGGGAGCAAAC
Molecule: ribosomal RNA, 421 nt
Filed under: uncultured bacterium
Lineage: Bacteria
Description: bacterial SSU rRNA
Rfam family: Bacterial small subunit ribosomal RNA
Source: RNAcentral